RNAcentral lists this ribosomal RNA (253 nucleotides) under uncultured bacterium. RNAcentral describes it as "partial 16S ribosomal RNA". It matches the Rfam family "Bacterial small subunit ribosomal RNA", at positions 524 to 776 of the family's 1533-position model. The record is from RNAcentral.
UACGGAGGAUGCAAGCGUUAUCCGGAUUUAUUGGGUUUAAAGGGUGCGUAGGCGGGACAAUAAGUCAGUGGUGAAAGCCUGCGGCUUAACCGUAGAAUUGCCAUUGAUACUGCUGUUCUUGAGUACAGUUGAGGUGGGCGGAAUGUGUAAUGUAGCGGUGAAAUGCUUAGAUAUUACACAGAACACCGAUUGCGAAGGCAGCUCACUAAGCUGUUACUGACGCUGAGGCACGAAAGCGUGGGGAGCAAACAGG